UAAGACGUGCAUUGCUUCUCUUGAGAGCGGCGGACGGGUGAGUAAUGCCUAGGAAUCUGCCUGGUAGUGGGGGAUAACGUUCGGAAACGGACGCUAAUACCGCAUACGUCCUACGGGAGAAAGCAGGGGACCUUCGGGCCUUGCGCUAUCAGAUGAGCCUAGGUCGGAUUAGCUAGUUGGUGGGGUAAUGGCUCACCAAGGCGACGAUCCGUAACUGGUCUGAGAGGAUGAUCAGUCACACUGGAACUGAGACACGGUCCAGACUCCUACGGGAGGCAGCAGUGGGGAAUAUUGGACAAUGGGCGAAAGCCUGAUCCAGCCAUGCCGCGUGUGUGAAGAAGGUCUUCGGAUUGUAAAGCACUUUAAGUUGGGAGGAAGGGUUGUAGAUUAAUACUCUGCAAUUUUGACGUUACCGACAGAAUAAGCACCGGCUAACUCUGUGCCAGCAGCCGCGGUAAUACAGAGGGUGCAAGCGUUAAUCGGAAUUACUGGGCGUAAAGCGCGCGUAGGUGGUUUGUUAAGUUGGAUGUGAAAUCCCCGGGCUCAACCUGGGAACUGCAUUCAAAACUGACUGACUAGAGUAUGGUAGAGGGUGGUGGAAUUUCCUGUGUAGCGGUGAAAUGCGUAGAUAUAGGAAGGAACACCAGUGGCGAAGGCGACCACCUGGACUAAUACUGACACUGAGGUGCGAAAGCGUGGGGAGCAAACAGGAUUAGAUACCCUGGUAGUCCACGCCGUACACGAUGUCAACUAGCCGUUGGAAGCCUUGAGCUUUUAAUUGCCGCACCUAACGCAUUAAGUUGACCGCCUGGGUAGUACAGCCGCCACGCUAGAACUCCAAUGAAUUGACGUGGGCCCCGCACAAACAGAUGCAGCAUGCUGGUUUUAUUUCGAAUCAACACUAAAGAACAUACCACGCCCUUGACAUUCGAAUGAGCUUGCACGAGAUAGAAUGGUUGACUGCUGCUAUCUUGGAAACAUGUGCUGCAUGGCUGACAGUCAUCUCGUC
RNAcentral lists this ribosomal RNA (1009 nucleotides) under Pseudomonadaceae bacterium. RNAcentral's name for it is "bacterial SSU rRNA". It matches the Rfam family "Bacterial small subunit ribosomal RNA", at positions 70 to 1064 of the family's 1533-position model. Lineage: Bacteria; Pseudomonadati; Pseudomonadota; Gammaproteobacteria; Pseudomonadales; Pseudomonadaceae. The record is from RNAcentral.